GGCCUUUUGAUUAUGAUUUAAGGUCUGGCCUGCCCAAUGAGGAGUUCAAUGGCUGCGGUAAUUUGACCGUGCAAAGGUAGCAUAAUAAUUAGUUUUUUAAUUGGAAGCUGGAAUGAAAGGUUUGAUGAGAAAGUGACUGUCUCUUUUCAAUUUUUUUUAGAAUUUUAUAUUUAAGUAAGAAAGCUUAAAUGUUUUUGAAAGACGAGAAGACCCUAUAGAGUUUUAUAUUUAUUUUCUUUUUUGGUAUUUUUGGUAUUUUUUGUAUUAGGGGGGGAGGUAAUAUUUGGUUGGGGCGAUUAAAAAAUUUAUUUAACUUUUUUUUUAUAUUUACACUAAUUAGUGAGUUUUUGAUCCAUUAUUUGUGAUUAUAAGAUUAAAUUACCUUAGGGAUAACAGCGUAAUUCCUUUUGAGAGUUCUUAUUGAUAUGGGAGAUUGCGACCUCGAUGUUGGAUUAAAAUUAAAUUUUGGUGCAGAAGCUAAAAGAUUGGGUCUGUUCGACCUUUAAAAUUUUACAUGA
This 518-nucleotide ribosomal RNA is filed under the name Cerambycinae sp. IBE JGZ-3735. Its description in RNAcentral is "partial large subunit ribosomal RNA". It matches the Rfam family "Bacterial large subunit ribosomal RNA", at positions 1819 to 2603 of the family's 2925-position model. The record is from RNAcentral. Lineage: Eukaryota; Metazoa; Arthropoda; Insecta; Coleoptera; Cerambycidae.